RNAcentral lists this long non-coding RNA (1078 nucleotides) under Chinchilla lanigera (long-tailed chinchilla). Its description in RNAcentral is "lncRNA (ENSCLAG00000026767.1)". Lineage: Eukaryota; Metazoa; Chordata; Mammalia; Rodentia; Chinchillidae. The record is from RNAcentral.
GCUAACUAUAGCUCCAUCUGUUACUGUUGACUCACUUAUUUUUUCCUUCAGUCCUGUCACCUUAACUACAUGAAUUUUAGGACUUUGUGAAAACAUAACUGUCAUGUCUUCCUGACAGUUUAAAAUUUUUUAGACAUUUCAUGCUUCUCUUGAUAUCCCCUCUAAAACUUUUAUAGAAAUUCAAUUGUCAUGGUGACAUCAUAAAAGGAGGGACCUUUAAGAGGUGGAGUAACUGAUGAGGGCUGUGCCUCAUCUGAACUGAUUCUUGGUCUAUGGCCAUACCACCCUGAAUGUGCCCCAUCUCAUCUGAAUUGAUUCCUGCUGUGAUCAGAGGAGAGUGGUUGGGCCAUUCUGCAUAAUUUGGAUUGGAGCAAACAGAAACCUGUACCAUUUUGGAGGAAAAGACAUCUCUUAGAACAGCAACAUUACUAAAUAUUUUAAACUGUACAGUGGACUCAGAUGAGAUCACUACGGAUCGCUCCCUCCUGAUACUAGGACACAACAGCAAGGAGGGCCAAGUCAUUAUGGAAAACAAAGGCACAGAAGAGACCAAGAAUGAACUGACCCAGAAGCCAAUGAUAGCCCCGUAUUUCAGUAGAAGAGCACACUGCUGAGACGACCAGGGAACUAAGUAGAAAUGGGCGGCACGUUAGCAUCAUGGAGAGAGAAGGCAGAGAUGAGUCUGUAAGCUGUUUCCUUUAAAAGAAGAUGGUGGACAGUAACGGAGCCCUUCAUGACUUCUCUUGAGUGCCUGGAUUAAAACUUUCCCAGCAGCACAACAAAGGACAAUGGAUCCACGUGCAUGUGCUAGUCAGCUUGAGCUAAGUUUGUCACCUGUUUACAAAAUGGAUUCCGAUCCAUGUUACCUCACAACUCUUUAAAUAAAUCUAGAAAAACAAAUAGAGAGAAAAACAUGGAGCAAACAUGGAAAAGUCUGAAAACAGACUAAAAUAUUGUGUCACUGUGCUUGCAUAGCACGUAAAUUUGUUUCCAAAUAAAGUCAUUUGGUUCUUUAAGCACAUAUAAGUAUGCAAUGAAUAAAUACUCAGUUAAAAAGCAAAUAUAAUUACUGAGGGCU